Molecule: ribosomal RNA, 253 nt
Filed under: uncultured bacterium
Lineage: Bacteria
Description: partial 16S ribosomal RNA
Rfam family: Bacterial small subunit ribosomal RNA
Source: RNAcentral
UACGUAGGGUGCUAGCGUUGUUCGGAUUCACUGGGCGUAAAGGGUGCGUAGGCGGUCGGGUAAGUCUGAUGUGAAAUCUCACAGCUUAACUGUGAAACUGCAUUGGAUACUAUCCGGCUCGAGGAAUGGAGGGGAGACUGGAAUACUUGGUGUAGCAGUGAAAUGCGUAGAUAUCAAGUGGAACACCAGUGGCGAAGGCGAGUCUCUGGACAUUUCCUGACGCUGAGGCACGAAAGCCAGGGGAGCAAACGGG